This 2000-nucleotide unclassified non-coding RNA is filed under the name Haliotis rufescens (red abalone). RNAcentral's name for it is "apelin receptor-like, transcript variant X1". Lineage: Eukaryota; Metazoa; Mollusca; Gastropoda; Lepetellida; Haliotidae. The record is from RNAcentral.
UUACACAGUCCGGACCUCAUGCAUUGUGAUCCCGGUGUGUACGUUCCUUAUAUGCUUUUACUUGUCGCUCUCGUAGUUCAAACUUGGACAAUGCGUACGAAAUCACUACGGUGGAACGAAACUGCGUAGCUGACAACUUCGGACUGCCAUUGUCACUGGUGCUACUGAUCCCGUGACUUCACGAUGAUCAAGUUCCGCCUUCAACCCGAUGGCGUCCCCAUUGCAAUGAACAUUACUGAUCUGACUUACAAGGACUUUCCCGAAUACCAGACAGGGGUGAUUAUGUGGAAGUCGAUCUCUCCGCUGCUCAUUCUGAUUGGUACGUUCGGAAGCUUGCUGUCUGUCAUCGUGUUAUGCCGCAAGCGGAUGCGAACCUCGACGACGAUGUUUUACUUGGCUGUGUUGGCGGUCACUGACGUCUUCGUGUUGUAUACAGGGUUACUGCGUUACUGGCUAAAUUACACGUUUGACGAAGAUAUUCGCAUUUAUUCAGACUUUUCUUGCAAAUUCCAUAUAUUUCUUGUGUAUGUGUCUCUAGACUUCGCAGCUUGGAUACUGGUUGCGCUCACCGUUGAUAGGUGUCUCUUCGUAUUCGCACCUUUCAAAGCCCGGAAGUACUGUACCCUGCGGAGGGCGAGAAUUACCGCCGCCGCCAUGUUGGGUUUCUUGAUGGUGAUCAACGUUCACUUCGCCUGGUCGUAUGGUCUCAGUCCUCGUACGAUAUUCGGGGAAGGGGUAGAUUGUUAUGCUGCUAACGACGACAUGAAACAAUUUGUUACUGUCAUCUGGCCUUGGAUUGAUCUGUUCAUCGUAUGUUUCGUCCCGUUCACCAUCAUGAUCAUCUGCAACGUCAUCAUUAUCAGGAAGCUCGCCAUCUCUGCCAGCAAGAUUCGUCGGCACACCGUUUCCGAGCGUGAGAGGUUCCAAUAUGAACUAAAAUCGACCAAUCAGAACGUACACCACAUCAGUACUCCGCCUGGCCAAUCAAAACAUCCGAAGAUCAGCGUCAUAAGCACGCAGUCAAACAACAACAACAACAACAACAACAACAAUACAAAAGCCAGAUCAGCUUGUCCGAAAUCGUCCCACCUCACGGUGAUGUUAUUAUCAGUCAACUGCCUGUUCUUGCUGCUGACGUCACCAAUUGUUGUGUACAUGAUCGGGUUCGGAACAUGGCGCGAGGACCCUGAUCCUCAAACCGAGGCUCGGCUCCAUCUGGGCUGGUGUCUGGUGAAUCUGUUGCAGUACACGAACAAUGCCGCUCAUUUCUUUCUCUACUGUCUCACGGGACCACGAUUCAGGAGGGAGUUACUCCGAAUGAUGUCCCCGAAAAACAAAGUUAAUGCUGAACCAAGCGUCACACUCGAUCCGUAUCACUGAAAGAAGUCACCGUCGACAUUAAGUCCGAUCACUAUCUGAUCUGGCCACCAUACAUGAGUUAUAUCAGAUUUACAUCAGAUUUACAUCAGAUAUACAUCAGAUUUACAUCAGAUUUACAUCAGAUAUACAUCAGAUUUACAUCAGGUUUACAUCAGGUUAACAUCAGAUUUACAUUCUAUUUGGAGACGGUACAGAAGUUUGGAACUUUUUUCAAUAUGUGAAAACAAAAGUAAACGGGAUACAUUGCGUUCACGUCUAGAGCAGUGAAUAAGGUGCCACAGUUCUGAGUUUAGAGUUACUUCCCUUAGUAAUGCCAGUAUCCGCUAUUCGAGGGUUCGAAAUCCAGAUUCUCCUCGACGAUGAUCAGUAUGCUUUCCCGUGACAGUAUCACUGUACUGAUACGGGUCGCUGCUCUAACUAUCAAUCACGGAUUCUGUGAUCCAGACUCGAUUACUCCAGGUCGAUUGUACUGGAUGUGAUAAGGAUACGUAUAUUUGAGGAGGCACGGGUGGCCCUGUCGUCUUAGGCGCCACGGUUCGCUGUGUGGAUUUGCGUCCCUUGGGCACGCCAGAAACCUAUGAUUGAUGGUUCGAAUCCCGGUUCGCCCCGAUUAUGUAUCU